RNAcentral lists this microRNA precursor (86 nucleotides) under Solanum tuberosum (potato). RNAcentral's name for it is "MIR8024 microRNA precursor family". It matches the Rfam family "MIR8024 microRNA precursor family". The record is from Rfam by way of RNAcentral. Lineage: Eukaryota; Viridiplantae; Streptophyta; Magnoliopsida; Solanales; Solanaceae.
UCGUAAGAUUUGAAGACUUCAACUUGUAUACUUAAAGAAUUUGAAGACAUCAACUUGUAUAAUUGAAGGAUUUGAAGACUUCGAUU